CCGAUGCUGACGAGUGGCGAACGGGUGAGUAAUACAUCGGAACGUGCCCGAGAGUGGGGGAUAACGAAGCGAAAGCUUUGCUAAUACCGCAUACGAUCUCAGGAUGAAAGCAGGGGACCGCAAGGCCUUGCGCUCACGGAGCGGCCGAUGGCAGAUUAGGUAGUUGGUGGGAUAAAAGCUUACCAAGCCGACGAUCUGUAGCUGGUCUGAGAGGACGACCAGCCACACUGGGACUGAGACACGGCCCAGACUCCUACGGGAGGCAGCAGUGGGGAAUUUUGGACAAUGGGCGCAAGCCUGAUCCAGCCAUGCCGCGUGCAGGAUGAAGGCCUUCGGGUUGUAAACUGCUUUUGUACGGAACGAAAAGACUCCUUCUAAUAAAGGGGGUCCAUGACGGUACCGUAAGAAUAAGCACCGGCUAACUACGUGCCAGCAGCCGCGGUAAUACGUAGGGUGCGAGCGUUAAUCGGAAUUACUGGGCGUAAAGCGUGCGCAGGCGGUGAUGUAAGACAGAUGUGAAAUCCCCGGGCUCAACCUGGGAACUGCAUUUGUGACUGCAUCGCUGGAGUGCGGCAGAGGGGGAUGGAAUUCCGCGUGUAGCAGUGAAAUGCGUAGAUAUGCGGAGGAACACCGAUGGCGAAGGCAAUCCCCUGGGCCUGCACUGACGCUCAUGCACGAAAGCGUGGGGAGCAAACAGGAUUAGAUACCCUGGUAGUCCACGCCCUAAACGAUGUCAACUGGUUGUUGGGUCUUCACUGACUCAGUAACGAAGCUAACGCGUGAAGUUGACCGCCUGGGGA
RNAcentral lists this ribosomal RNA (800 nucleotides) under Acidovorax sp. 42AP12. RNAcentral describes it as "bacterial SSU rRNA". It matches the Rfam family "Bacterial small subunit ribosomal RNA", at positions 82 to 879 of the family's 1533-position model. The record is from RNAcentral. Lineage: Bacteria; Pseudomonadati; Pseudomonadota; Betaproteobacteria; Burkholderiales; Comamonadaceae.